GUGACUUGUUUCUGGAUGAUUCUAAGAGGUUAUCAAUACUCUGGCUGACCAUCGUCAUCGUGGGACUGACUUUGGUGGAAGUCCUUGGUUACUUAUCAUUACUGUGUUUCUGAGAAGUUAUAAAUUUGCCAUCUCCCUCUGCACAAGUUACCUUUGUGUGAGUAUACUAACUUUCUGUAGAGGUAUACUUGUAAUCACAAAUAAGAAUAAAUUAUAUGAAAC
RNAcentral lists this long non-coding RNA (222 nucleotides) under Homo sapiens (human). Its description in RNAcentral is "HSALNT0228370". The record is from RNAcentral. Lineage: Eukaryota; Metazoa; Chordata; Mammalia; Primates; Hominidae.